GAUAGUGUGAUGUCCAUCUCUUCUGGCUCUAAUAGGACAAAUCUGCAGACUCCUGUGAGAUUGAACCCUGGCAGGUGUACAGAAAACCUUUGGUGUUUAAUGUCCUGGUCCUGGAUGCAGCCACCUUGAUAGUGUGAUGUCCAUCUCUUCUGGCUCUAAUAGGACAAAUCUGCAGACUCCUGUGAGAUUGAACCCUGGCAGGUGUACAGAAAACCUUUGGUGUUUAAUGUACUGGUCCUGGAUGCAGCCACCUUGAUAGUGUGAUGUCCAUCUCUUCUGGCUCUAAUAGGACAAAUCUGCAGACUCCUGUGAGAUUGAACCCUGGCAGGUGUACAGAAAACCUUUGGUGUUUAAUGUACUGGUCCUGGAUGCAGCCACCUUGAUAGUGUGAUGUCCAUCUCUUCUGGCUCUAAUAGGACAAAUCUGCAGACUCCUGUGAGAUUGAACCCUGGCAGGUGUACAGAAAACCUUUGGUGUUUAAUGUACUGGUCCUGGAUGCAGCCACCUUGAUAGUGUGAUGUCCAUCUCUUCUGGCUCUAAUAGGACAAAUCUGCAGACUCCUGUGAGAUUGAACCCUGGCAGGUGUACAGAAAACCUUUGGUGUUUAAUGUCCUGGUCCUGGAUGCAGCCACCUUGAUAGUGUGAUGUCCAUCUCUUCUGGCUCUAAUAGGACAAAUCUGCAGACUCCUGUGAGAUUGAACCCUGGCAGGUGUACAGAAAACCUUUGGUGUUUAAUGUACUGGUCCUGGAUGCAGCCACCUUGAUAGUGUGAUGUCCAUCUCUUCUGGCUCUAAUAGGACAAAUCUGCAGACUCCUGUGAGAUUGAACCCUGGCAGGUGUACAGAAAACCUUUGGUGUUUAAUGUCCUGGUCCUGGAUGCAGCCACCUUGAUAGUGUGAUGUCCAUCUCUUCUGGCUCUAAUAGGACAAAUCUGCAGACUCCUGUGAGAUUGAACCCUGGCAGGUGUACAGAAAACCUUUGGUGUUUAAUGUACUGGUCCUGGAUGCAGCCACCUUGAUAGUGUGAUGUCCAUCUCUUCUGGCUCUAAUAGGACAAAUCUGCAGACUCCUGUGAGAUUGAACCCUGGCAGGUGUACAGAAAACCUUUGGUGUUUAAUGUCCUGGUCCUGGAUGCAGCUACCUUGAUAGUGUGAUGUCCAUCUCUUCUGGCUCUAAUAGGACAAAUCUGCAGACUCCUGUGAGAUUGAACCCUGGCAGGUGUACAGAAAACCUUUGGUAAGAAAGUCAUUUUUGACCUUUAGUGUAGAGUUUAGGUGGCUAAACACUACACUAAACAGACCCCCUGAACCUAUGUGCUAAAUGUUUGUCCCAUGAGCAGAGAACAGCAUACAUAAAUAUACUGUGUAGCCUGUAUAGAGAACAAGGGCAUGAUCCUCC
Long non-coding RNA from Esox lucius (northern pike), 1397 nucleotides. RefSeq lists it as uncharacterized. The record is from RefSeq and is a predicted model, not a curated record. The transcript is spliced from 10 exons. Lineage: Eukaryota; Metazoa; Chordata; Actinopteri; Esociformes; Esocidae.